Long non-coding RNA from Tetranychus urticae (two-spotted spider mite), 1286 nucleotides. RefSeq lists it as uncharacterized. The record is from RefSeq and is a predicted model, not a curated record. Lineage: Eukaryota; Metazoa; Arthropoda; Arachnida; Trombidiformes; Tetranychidae.
UUUCUCUCCUCCUCUUUCAACUCAGCUGUUUCCCUUUCUUUUUUUCAAAUACGUUCUUACCGUAAAAAUCUUACGGUUAUUCCCAAUUUUAUCAGUUACACUUUUAAUCUUCAAACUUUAAAUGAUUAACAAAUGGCUGAUUGAUUGUGAGCGUCACUGGUUUUCAAUAAACAAUGAAUUACAAGUGAACAAGUGAAACAGGCGACAAAGGAAUACAGUUUACUCCUGAUAUUACACAAAAUCUUAUUGUAAAGGGGACCUGAUGAUAGGAUCAACCAGAAAACAUAUCAAGAGAUGGCGAAAUCAGCAGUUGGUGGACAGAAUUUUCAAAUUGGUUGAAGCGGAGGUAAAAGUAGAAACAAAUUUACUUUUGAUUCAAUAAAUGAUUGAUACAAAUCUCCUUGAUUAACCUUGGAAGUGAAAAGGAGAAUCAAGAAAUAUGUCUACAAUUUCCAGUGUGUGGUUGUCAUUUGCUGAUUUGUUUGGGUUGUAGAUGAAGAAAUGCGAGAUGAUUUAGUUGAUUGAAAAGAUUUGGAACACAUUCAGAGUUAAAUGGCACACACAAAAUAAACUGAUUCACUUGAUACACUCAACGUUUCCAGCUCAUGGUAAUUGCUAACCAAUCCAACGCCUUAACAUGUCGAAAGGAUUCAUUAUCAAAUUUGAUUGUGUAAUUGGUUGUUACCAUUAAAAUUAAGACGCUUCGAUGUGUAAAGUGAAAAUUAAUUGAAAAUCAAUCAUCAACAAUAAUGGUGCUUGCAUAAACAAAACAUGGUAUCUUGUGCUCAGUAUCUUUGAACCAAUCGACCUUUGAUUAAAACCUUGAUUGAUAAUUUGUACAAUUUAAGAAUAAAGAAGAGGAAACAAUUAAUUUCAAUCACAGGACAUUGAGAGAAGGAAAUUGAUUGAAAUGGUAAAGAAAAUGAAAUUAUUAGUUUACUCUUCAUAUUAUUGUGAUUCAGUUAACUUUCAGACAAUCAGGAUAAAAGGAUGAUUAUGCAGCAACCUGGAUCAAUUGCAUUUCUGAUUUGUACACAAUUAUAAUUGUAUGAACACCUUUCAUUAGGCUAAUCAUUUUCAUCUAAUUAUAUCACUUAUGUGUAAGAUGUUUUUGUAUUGUUUUACAUUUUAUUUACAUUUUUCUGAAAAUAUUUGCCACAAAAUGGUUCAUCUUAUAACAGCUGUAAUACAAGUGUUCACAAUCUUGCAUUGAAAUUACGCUCAAAUAUUGUUGAUUGAAAAUUAAGUUGAUGAAUAAUUGAAUAAAAACAAAUCAGUAAUCAAAA